Molecule: ribosomal RNA, 771 nt
Filed under: uncultured Neocallimastigales
Lineage: Eukaryota; Fungi; Neocallimastigomycota; Neocallimastigomycetes; Neocallimastigales
Description: partial large subunit ribosomal RNA
Rfam family: Eukaryotic large subunit ribosomal RNA (bases 4-661)
Source: RNAcentral
GUACACGCUGUGACUAGCAUAUCAAUAAGCGGAGGAAAAGAAACUAACAAGGAUUCCCUCAGUAACGGCGAGUGAAGCGGGAAGAGCUCAAAUUUGAAAUCUUGAAAGGUCACCUUUCACGAAUUGUAGUUUAAAGAAGUGUUUUCUGUUACGAUCGUAAUAUAAGUUCUUUGGAAUAGGACAUCACAGAGGGUGAGAAUCCCGUCUAUGAUUGCGAUUUGUAGCUUUGUGAUACACUUUCAAAGAGUCGGGUUGUUUAGGAAUGCAGCCCAAAACGGGAGGUAAAUUUCUUCUAAGGCUAAAUAUUGGCGAGAGACCGAUAGCGAACAAGUACCGUGAGGGAAAGAUGAAAAGAACUUUGAAAAGAGAGUUAAAUAGUACGUGAAAUAGUCAAAAGGGAAGCGUUUAACACCAGUGUUGUUUUCUGAAAAUCAACCUCUGUUAGCUUUAUGCAUGUUUGUUUAGACCUAAUCAGCUAUCUUUCAUGUUCUAUUGUUUGCAGUGGUGCACUUUUCAGUUUACAGGUCAACAUCAGUUUUUUUUACCGUAAAAAAGUUAAAGAAAGGUAGCUCAUGGCUCCGGUCGUGAGUGUUAUAGUCUUUUUCCUAUGCGGUAGGAGAGACUGAGGUCUGCAGUGUAGGCUAUUUGGCUAGAUACUCAGGUGCUGUGUGAUACCAUUUCAUAAACAACUUGUUGAUUAUGUUUUGUCUAUUGCAUACUCGCUUGUACUAUCAUACCUACGCUUAGGAUGUUGAGUAGCGACAUACGCAC